Ictidomys tridecemlineatus (thirteen-lined ground squirrel) is the source of this 72-nucleotide non-coding RNA. The record is from Rfam. Lineage: Eukaryota; Metazoa; Chordata; Mammalia; Rodentia; Sciuridae.
GGGGGUGUGGCUCAGUGGUACAGUGCUUGCCUAGAACACAUGAAGCUCUGGGUUCAAUCCCCAGCAAACCUU